ACGCCUACGGGAGGCAGCAGUGGGGAAUAUUGCACAAUGGACGAAAGUCUGAUGCAGCAACGCCGCGUGGGGGAUGACACAUUUCGGUGCGUAAACUCCUUUUAUAUAAGAAGAUAAUGACGGUAUUAUAUGAAUAAGCACCGGCUAACUCCGUGCCAGCAGCCGCGGUAAUAC
RNAcentral lists this ribosomal RNA (174 nucleotides) under uncultured bacterium. RNAcentral describes it as "partial 16S ribosomal RNA". It matches the Rfam family "Bacterial small subunit ribosomal RNA", at positions 335 to 526 of the family's 1533-position model. The record is from RNAcentral.